CUUGAAUUAAAACUUUGAGCAAAGGUAAAGAGCAUGUGUCCUUCAAGCAAGCAAAAGUUAGCAAAAAUAAAUAUCCCCCCACUCCCUGAGCGGAAAUCAGCAAUUUUUGAAUGCCAUUUUUUGUUUAGGCAUGAGUCCUAAGAAAGAACCAAAACGUCAGCUGUACUACGGAAAGUACUGAAAAUGUGGAAUUACCGGCUAAACUAUGUGGACUGUUAGCAGCGAGAUAACAACAAGAACAACAGCAACAACGACGUCAACAACAAGAACAACAACAACAGCAACAAUGACGACAACAACAACAACUAUUAACAGCGAGAUACUAAAAAUAAUUCAAAGGUAAGGACAAAAACUUUCCUUCUUAAACAUUGCACUGGACAAGUAAAAGGAAAAGAAUGUGUAUUCAGCUUGGAAAAAAUGGCUAUGUAUAGUCAUUCUUUCAUCUUUUAAUUUUCCAUUGUUACUAGUGUCUUUCAAAUGUUAUGGGGGAAUAAUAUUAAGCAUGGAUGGGGGUAAUGCUAGGGCCCAAGGUGAGAGGAAGAGUAUGCAAAAAGCUACUCCAUAAAAAUACUGUAGCCUCUACCAUAUACACUAUUACUAUAUUGCUGCAGAGCUUUUGUUGCCUCUAUCCUUGGCUAAGUGAAAACACAGGAUUCCACUAUUCACAUUGAAAUUACCACAUUGAUGUGUCAACAAAGCAAAAAAACAACUCAAGAAUAAGAAAUGUAGAAAUUUCUACAAAAAGUGAAUGGCCAGGUCUUUAGCACAUUUUGAUUCAACACGACUACCUAUUCUCAAUGUCAUUUCCUCCAGCUGGAAGGGCAAAUGGCUGCAGGACUUGCGGAAGAGCAACAUCUUUGUGUGGAAUAUAUCCAACAUCAUAGCUAGGGGAGCACACAACACGAAUUGCAUUCUUUACAAGAAAGGGAUGCCCUUCAGUUGCCCUGACACCAACAUCAUGACAGGUAACAAAGAAGUGAUCUGCACCCAUGGUUCUAUUCCAGUAAGGGUAUUUGGCUAUCAAACUAUCAACAUAAUUCUGGACAAUUAUGGUCAUGUUCUCAUAUGAUGUCCCCUGCAUUUCAUCAAACAAUCAUCUUCUUAUAACAUCAGAAGUCCCAAAAGUCAGGUAUAUUUGAUCCACCAAUCAUAAAUAGUAUAGGUAUCGUAAAUUUUAUGUUAGAAAAGCUAGAAUCAGAAAUAUACAAUAGAUUAUGAACAAAAAAUAUCCAUCCUCUCAGAAGUGUGACACUUUUCAAUGUUGCCACAUAAUGAUAAUAUUUUUCUAAACCAAGAGUUGUUACACUACUAAAGUAUACGAAGCACAGUAUGAGACUUUUUCAAUAUUGGCGCAGAGUGAUAAUAGUUACGAACCAGGAGCUGGUAUACACCUAAAGUACAACAGGAAGCACCUUACAUGGAUAUACACACAAUAGAAAAGAGAAAAACCUAUCCACAUUAAGUACGAAGGAAGAAGUGAUACCAGGGGCGGAUGCACCUUGGUCGACGUGAUGUUAUCCGACACUGCUUCGUUGAAUUUUUUUAAUAAAUAUAUGUAUAUGUACAAAAUGCGUAAAAGGACAACACCAGAAACAAUUUGUUCUUCAGCCUGCCUGGUUAAGUGCCUCAUACUUUUUAUAGAGGCCGUGCGUUCGAAUCUCUAGCAGCUUGAAUGUUAUAAAAUUUUGAGCACCAUGACAAAAAGUUCGGCUAAAAUAUAUUUUAGCCAACUUAAAACCCUAUUUUGAAAAAACUGUUCAUUCUCUACAUUUGCAAUUUCCGAAAAUUGGGCAUGCUGCUUGUGUUCUACUAUAAGUCACCUUGCUACGUUUUUCUUUCUCGACGAUAAAGUUGAGUAAUAGUACUAAUUUACUGAAUCAAAUGGUUAUUGACUUUUUGAAUGGUUAUUUGGUGCCUUAAAUUAAUAUUAUUUCUAAUGAAGUUAUUAUAAAUAAAUUUCAAAAAGUGAAUACUCUCAAUAGACUUAUAGUAAUACACUCGAAUUGCAUUUUAUUAUUAUAAUAUGUUUUGUUAAUAUGAUGUCGUUAUGCAGAAAUUUGUUUACUUAUUCACUUUUUUAAAUAUCGACACCACUUAUGAAAAGUUCUGCAUACGCCCCUGAGUGGCAUUACUCUAUACACAAAACUCUCAGUUUCCUAAUAAAAUGGAAAACACUUUUUCCAGCAUUUCUUGCUGCAUUUCCAGCUAACAGAGUAAGAGAUAAUACUAUGUUUUACUCUCUCCCUCCCUCAUUUGGAGCAGGUAUAUGCUUUUUUUAUCAGUCGGAGCAGGAAUAUGUCUAACCCUGACCUUACGAAAUGCCGAGUCAAAUAUGGGCAUCUGACUAAGGACUGACGCCUGAGGGAGUGAAAAACUUCUCUGCUUUCCAUACUUGACUUCAUUCAUAUGACAUGCAUUUGUUAUCCAAACAAAAUCUUAUGGCAUGCAUUGUUAUUUCCCUGAAACUAUCAGUAGCGUCUCCAUGGGAAAAAGAAGCUCUAUUAAGAAAAUUCUGGUUGCCACGAAAACUGCAUUGGAAAAACUAGCACAUUCAGCUACCAUACCCCCACAUAAACAGAUUCUGGAAUCUAUCAUCUAAUUCCUAACAUAAAGAUUUGCAUUAUAGCCAACAAUCAUAUGUGAAGUCAUUGUACUUCUUGUUCCUGCAUCCUGCACCCUCCCUACCAAAAGAUCCAACUGAAUUAAACAAAAUUUAAUCACCAUGUCUACCCCUCCUUGUUAACUUAUCUAUCAGUACCACUUACCAUCCUUAACUAAGAAAACAUCAAAUCCCCUUCGACCUUGUUAAGACAAUUAAUUCAUACAAACUAACUGAACGACUUUAGUACCAAUUAAAAUAUGAGAAAAAGAUGGCACCUGAUGCACUGUAUAAUGAAUUUAUUGUCACUCUCCAGUAAAAUUUUCAGCAUAUUAAGUAAAGCAGGCAUUAAAUUUAACAGUACUUCCAAAAUCUAACAACAUUAACAGCAUCUCAUACCAAAAUUCAGUUCAUAAACAUCAAAUAAAACCAAAUCUAACACAGACAAAAUAAAAUAAAAAUCAUAUUUUGCAUACUCUACAACAUUCCAUA
Molecule: long non-coding RNA, 3091 nt
Filed under: Nicotiana benthamiana
Lineage: Eukaryota; Viridiplantae; Streptophyta; Magnoliopsida; Solanales; Solanaceae
Description: long non-coding RNA (NBEN_LNC040363)
Source: RNAcentral